AAUAGCCAGUCGCGCCAGCCGCUAGCUCGGGCUCUGCGCAUACGCUUGCUGCAGAGGGCGCUGGCGGGGCGGUUGGCUCCCGUGUGCGCAUGUGCGGGAUGCCGUCAGCCGGGGACCUGGAGGCGCGGUGCUGGAGCCUGUGAGGGGAUGGCGCUGGGUUUUUCUACCGUUUUGCUGGUGCGGAGGGUGGCCUGGGUGCGAUUUCCUCCCUUAACCAGGUUGUGAGGAGGAAGCAGGCGAGGUUAAAGGGAAGAAAUCGGUAUGGUUGAAAACUCUCCAGCCCCAUUGCCGGAAAGGGCAAUAUAUGGAUUUGCUCUUUUCUUGGGAUCGUGGUUUGGUUUUAUGUUGUAUCUUAUCUGGGCAUAUGUUCCUGAGACUUGGCUAUUCUCGUUGGGACUAACAUACUGGCCUCAAAAAUACUGGGCAGUUGCUUUGCCAGUCUACCUGCUAGUUGCUAUAGGAAUCGGUUAUAUAUUGCUGUUUGGUAUUAACAUGAUGAGUACCGCUCCACUUAACUCCACAUAUACUGUUACAGAUAGCUAUGCAAAAAAGCAGCAACAGAAGAAAUUUCAGGAAGAAGCAAUUCCAGCUUUGAGGGAUAUUCCUAUCAGUGAAGUAAACAGAAUGUUCUUCCUUCCUGAAAAAGGAAUCUGUGAUAGCAGGUAGUUGACAUUAAGGGGUCACAAACAGUUACUUUCAGCAGUCAAGAUUGUUUGGUUUGGUUAUAAAGACCAGUGAAGAGAGCCCCAUGUUCUGACUAUUAGCAGGUUCUGUUCAGCCUGGACAUCUUUCCUUGUGCAGUGAUAAAAAUCUAGGUAGUGUAGUGAAUAAUUAACCUGGAGUACUAAGAAGAGAAUACUCCAGAGAGAAACUGAUACUUCUUCUGAGAAGGUAAAUGUCAUUUUUUCUAUAUCAAGUGAUAAGAUGAACUCACCUCACUGGAUGUUGAAACCCCAGACCUCCUUUUGAUCUAAAAUUUAUUAGCUGACCAUCCAGUUCUGACUGUAAAGAGACAUAUUUAUUAUUUAGAGUAGGCUAGAAUUAAAGGUUUCACUUCUUAAAAAACUUUGUAUGUGACUGUAAAUUUGUAUGGGAAUGUUGCUUUGAUUGCUGUGCUGUUGUUUGACCAAGUGACACAGUGUACCUCUGAACAGUUGCACAUUUGAAAAAGCAUUUGAACUGGUACAUUUUAUGAGCUGUAAAGCCAUGAAGAUAUACAUCUUGUUUAAGUAACAACUGGUGAGGUGAUAUUAGCACCAAAUGGAAAUUCAGUGAUUGGAAGAAAAAAGGAUUUUCAAUUAUUUAAAAAAUGACAGAGAAGUUAGGAUUUUAUAAAAUGCCUCUUUAACUGCUCUAGCCCAUAGCUUGAAAUAGGAAUGUUCAGGUCAUCAAGAUGAAUUGCAAUCAAAGAUCACAGAAACAUGUUCAAACAGUAAAAUCAAGAGACAAGUGACAUCUCAUAUUUCUAUGCAAACAGUGAUUAAAAAAGGACACAUUUUUGAUACAACAGAUUAGGUAGCAAAAAUACAUUUUACAUAUUAAAUUUAGCACAUAAUAAAUUCCUACCAGUUAAGGUCGCAAAACCCAGUAAUUUGCAAAUGUUACCAUGACUAAGUCCUGUUAGGAUUAUACACCUGGAAUGUAAACCUGAAAGCAUCUCUCAAAAAUCACUGAGGCCUAUCACUUCUCCUUGCAGCAUGAAUUCUCCUCCGUUUCUUAAACCAAGAAGGCUUUGUAUUCCCUGUUGCUAUAAACCUGAUGUUGCAUGAAAGAGGAAGAUGUAGCUCCUCCACACUAGAACUUCUAGUGAACAGAAUGUAGAUAUUGUCCAUUCUGCAAGAAACAGACAAUGAUGACUUUUUCCACUGUCAGAGCAAUUUACCUUUCUGAGGAAGUGGGCUUCAGCAUGGAUUUUUUUGGGCCUCAAAAGCCCCUUAGGCUACAGACUGUGCAAGAAGUCCUGUCAAAUUCUGUCUGUUCCUUCUGUGUUGGUCUGUUUCUCUCACAGCAACCUUUUGAGCUGGUUGAAUAAAAUUUUCUGCAAAACUACCUUAGUAAUCAAUCAACACUUCUUGAUUUUGGAAGCCUAAGUUUCUUCAAAUUAGCACUGUAAGCAUGUAGUCUGUCAGAGGGAGCAUAAAAUGCCCCUUAUUCUUAGAAAAGCGUGGAAUGCUGCUGGGAAGGAUAUUCUGCAUGCUUUCCCAAGGUGCCUGUCUGUAGGACUAUGUCACUCCCUCAGCUCUGUACCAUUACAGCCUCCACUAUCAGGAGAUAAAAAGGUGUUACAUGUUUUAGAACAUAGUAGAAAUUGUCAGCCUUUGAAGAUUUGAACUAAGCAGAGUUGUUGUCUUAAACUGCCUUGCCUUUGGUUAAAAAGCUGCAGAUGUAACUGUGGAUCAGAUGCUGCGAAAACUUAAUACAGGUGCUUAAAACUUAAGUAUGGGAGUAGCAUAGUCCAGAACAUUGUUUUAAAGUUUGCAGCAUUGGCACCUAUGCUGAAUGUGCUUCAAUCUCUCUUAAUUUUGUUUUUCGAGUCUAACUAAUCCUCCUAUGUAAGUAAAAUAAAUAAUCACAAUUCCUUUCAAAGGCAAUUGACAGUUGGCACUACUUCAAAAACCUAUUCUGUGUUGAUAUCCAACUCGUUUAGCUACACUAACUUCCCUCCCAAAAAGACAAUCAAUAAAAUUUGGCACCUGAAAGUAUGGGUUUUUAAUUAUCACACACAGACUAAGCAUGGGCAUUUCAAACUGAGCAUGUACUUGUGUUUAUAAUUAAGCAAAUAUAAAAUGCUGUUAAGGGUUGUUUUGAGUAAGCAGCCCUUUAAGAACUGGUAACAAAUCUGUAUCUGAGGAGAAUUAGAGAUACUCUUAACCUGUAAUUUGAACCAUAUUUUCCAACACUGAAGAAAUGCUUGAAAGAACAAAUGAACAGAUUACUAAAUUCAAUUUUUGCAUCUGUUUUCUAUAAGGAUUAUUUUCUCCAGAACGUAGUCUCACCAGUUGUUGAUUUUCUCUCAUCUUGCCAUCUCUUGCUGUAAGCAUCCAGGGCCUCCAUAAAGCAGGGCUGCUGAAAGAUUAAGAUAAAGCAGUGCUCUCACAAUUAAUUCUUUGUGGUAGUACCCAUACAGUAUACCUCCUUUUGUUAGAUUCUGCUGGCAUCCUUUGAAAUAAGAUUUUUUUUUUUCUUUUCAACAGAUUUUGAUUUGGUAAAUCUGAUUUCUGUACCAGUAUUAAUCUGUCUCUGUCUACAAUCUGAUUAAACAAACUUGACAAUUCCUUUUAUAUUUUUAA
This is an RNA transcript of Pogoniulus pusillus (Red-fronted tinkerbird), 3290 nucleotides long. It is a transcript of the gene named phosphatidylinositol glycan anchor biosynthesis class P, with no coding region annotated. The transcript has 7 exons. The record is from RefSeq and is a predicted model, not a curated record. Lineage: Eukaryota; Metazoa; Chordata; Aves; Piciformes; Lybiidae.